GGGGGUAGUUAAACGGCCGCGGUAAUUAUGACCGUGUUAAAGUAGCGCAAUCAAUCGCCAAUUAAUUGUUGGCAAGUAUGAAGGUUUCACGAAUGCCUCACUGUCUCAAUAUAAAGUUUAUUGAAAUUGGAAUUUUAGUGAAGAUACUAAAUAGUAAUUGAAAGACGAGGAGACCCCGUGAGCUUUACUGGAGUGUUAAUUAUUAUUAAUACAGACAGUUUAGUUGGGGCGACUCCCCUAUAAAGAGUAACUAGGGGGCUUGUGGGUUAAGAAAUAGUUAAACCUAAGACAAUAAGGGGGUCCUCCCAAAUUGGCAUGUAGUUUUUUGGUUUAUUAAAAUCUUUAUAACUUGGUGGGAUAUAUUGCUCCGCAAUUUAGAAAUUCCGAGAGCGGCAAAAAGUUACCGCGGGGAUAACAGGGUAAUUUUGUUUGAGAGUUCGUAUCGAAGACGGAGUUUGCUACCUCGAUGUUGAAUUGUGAUAUCCUGAAGGCGCAGGAGUUUUCAAGGGUUGGACUGUUCGUCCAUUAAAAUCGCACAUGAUUUGA
This 546-nucleotide ribosomal RNA is filed under the name Rhopaloeides odorabile. Its description in RNAcentral is "partial large subunit ribosomal RNA". It matches the Rfam family "Bacterial large subunit ribosomal RNA", at positions 1915 to 2608 of the family's 2925-position model. The record is from RNAcentral. Lineage: Eukaryota; Metazoa; Porifera; Demospongiae; Dictyoceratida; Spongiidae.